CAGAUAGUAUCUGAGUGACAAUAGUUGCAAUGGAGUUAUGCACAUACCUCGAGCCUUCCCUUGUUUGUUCAUCAAGAGCUAUUUCAGAUGAAAAUCCGGAGACCGUUUCCUUAGGUCUUCUUGCAUGGGACGAAGUUGCAGCGUCAGCAACAGGAUCCUCCCGGGUAGGGUUGCAAGACUCAGUGCUGAGGGAAUCAGACAUGGUCG
RNAcentral lists this long non-coding RNA (207 nucleotides) under Lathyrus oleraceus (garden pea). Its description in RNAcentral is "Pisum sativum (pea) long non-coding RNA (PSAT_LNC015650)". The record is from RNAcentral. Lineage: Eukaryota; Viridiplantae; Streptophyta; Magnoliopsida; Fabales; Fabaceae.